This 409-nucleotide ribosomal RNA is filed under the name Verrucomicrobiota bacterium. RNAcentral's name for it is "Verrucomicrobia bacterium partial 16S ribosomal RNA". It matches the Rfam family "Bacterial small subunit ribosomal RNA", at positions 355 to 776 of the family's 1533-position model. The record is from RNAcentral. Lineage: Bacteria; Pseudomonadati; Verrucomicrobiota.
UGGGGAAUAUUGCACAAUGGGCGGAAGCUUGAUGCAGCGACGCCGCGUGAGGGAUGACGGCCUUCGGGGUGUAAACCUCUUUCAGUAGGGACGAAGCGUAAGUGACGGUACCUGCAGAAGAAGCACCGGCUAACUACGUGCCAGCAGCCGCGGUAAUACGUAGGGUGCGAGCGUUGUCCGGAAUUACUGGGCGUAAAGAGCUCGUAGGCGGUUUGUCACGUCGUCGGUGAAAUCCUAGGGCUUAACCCUGGACGUGCAGGCGAUACGGGCUGACUUGAGUACUACAGGGGAGACUGGAAUUUCUGGUGUAGCGGUGGAAUGCACAGAUAUCAGGAAGAACACCGAUGGCGAAGGCAGGUCUCUGGGUAGUAACUGACGCUGAGGAGCGACAGCAUGGGUAGCGAACAGG